Molecule: small RNA, 402 nt
Filed under: Arabidopsis thaliana (thale cress)
Lineage: Eukaryota; Viridiplantae; Streptophyta; Magnoliopsida; Brassicales; Brassicaceae
Description: ATSL158720
Source: RNAcentral
UUAUAAGAAAUUACCUUUUUUUACUACCCUUAUGCAACAAUACCCUUUUAUAUUGUUCAUUUUUAAAAAUAUCCCUUCCCUUGAACAUAAUGACCAAAUUACCCUCAUCUAAUAAGAACAUGUAAUUGGAAACUUUCAGUUUUUGGCGCCAAAAUUUAUUUUUUCCGCCAAAAAAAAAAUUUCCGCCAAACUUUUUUUCCCGCCAAAAAAAAAUUCCCGCCAAAAAAAAAAAUUCCCGCCAAAAUUUUUUCUUGUAAAAUUUUUUUCCCAGCCAAAAAAAUGCUUUUAAAAAUCCUUGUAAAUUUUUAAAAACUCUUUUAAAAAACCUUGUAAAGUUUUUUAAAAGCUUUGGUAGUUGCUAAAAAGCCUUGUAAAUCAUUUUAAAACCUUUUAAAAUCUUUA